This 371-nucleotide non-coding RNA is filed under the name Schimmelmannia schousboei. Lineage: Eukaryota; Rhodophyta; Florideophyceae; Acrosymphytales; Schimmelmanniaceae. The record is from RNAcentral.
GGGACUGUUAGGUUUCUACAUAUUAUUGUAUUUGUAUAAGUUAUAGAGAAUGAAGAUAAGCUAAACUUCAUUAAUCCUAGCUUUAAAUUAUUUACUUGCAAAAAAUCAAAUCACUCCAUUUUCUAGAAAUAUGAUAUUAGCGUAAUUUGUCUAGUAUUAUUAAAUAUUUUUUAGAAUACCAAAUAAUGAUUUCUAAUAUAUUAUUUGAUAUUUAUUGAUUAGAUGCUCUUAAAUUUAUGAUAUAUAUAAUAUUUAAGCAAAGUUUUAAAUUUAUAAAUAAAAUUUUCUCUUUACUGUAUAAAUAAUUAUUUAUAUUUGGAGCUUUGCAUAUUACAUUAAUAUGGACGUGGGUUCGAAUCCCACCAGUUCCA